RNAcentral lists this unclassified non-coding RNA (379 nucleotides) under uncultured Oligoflexales bacterium. RNAcentral describes it as "contains 16S-23S intergenic spacer region". Lineage: Bacteria; Pseudomonadati; Bdellovibrionota; Oligoflexia; Oligoflexales. The record is from RNAcentral.
UCCGGUUUGUCACCGGCAGUCUCCUUAGAGAGCCCAACUUAAUGCUGGCAACUAAGGACAAGGGUUGCGCUCGUUGCGGGACUUAACCCAACAUGUCACCACACGAGCUGACGACAGCCAUGCAGCACCUGUCUUCCGGUCGUAUUGCUACGAAAACUGCAUUUCUGCAGCGGUCCGAAGAUGUCAAAUCCAGGUAAGGUUUUUCGCGUUGCUUCGAAUUAAACCACAUGAUCCACCGCUUGUGCGGGCCCCCGUCAAUUCCUUUGAGUUUUAGUCUUGCGACCGUACUUCCCAGGCGGGGUACUUAUUGCGUUAGCGCCGGUUCGGCGGGGGUCAAGACCCACCAAACCUAGUACCCAUCGUUUACAGCGUGGACUAC